CAGAAAACCAGCAGGCUCCAGGCCUCAUAGGGUAAGAGUUGAAUACUCUUGCACUAAAAUGUAUAAGGCAACAGGCAAAUGCACAAACACUAGAGAAAACUCUGUAAUAUAUUUUUAUUUGCUAUCUAUCUACGUUUUCUCUGGUACUUCUAGAACCACCUGCAACUGGACACGGACAUGUAUAAGAUAACUGGUUUCCAGAAUUGGGAACGAAGAGAGUACUGCCAAUACCAGCUUGGGGGAUUUCUUCUUCAUCUG
This 258-nucleotide long non-coding RNA is filed under the name Salmo salar (Atlantic salmon). RNAcentral's name for it is "lncRNA (ENSSSAG00000089635.1, ENSSSAG00000108463.1)". Lineage: Eukaryota; Metazoa; Chordata; Actinopteri; Salmoniformes; Salmonidae. The record is from RNAcentral.